AGUGAACGCUGGCGGUAGGCCUAACGCAUGCAAGUCGAACGGCAGCACAGUAAGAGCUUGCUCUUACGGGUGGCGAGUGGCGGACGGGUGAGGAAUACAUCGGAAUCUACUUUUUCGUGGGGGAUAACGUAGGGAAACUUACGCUAAUACCGCAUACGACCUACGGGUGAAAGCAGGGGAUCUUCGGACCUUUCGCGAUUGAAUGAGCCGAUGUGGGAUUAGCUAGUUGGCGGGGUAAAGGCCCACCAAGGCGACGAUCCGUAGCUGGUCUGAGAGGAUGAUCAGCCACACUGGAACGGAGACACGGUCCAGACUCCUACGGGAGGCAGCAGUGGGGAAUAUUGGACAAUGGGCGCAAGCCUGAUCCAGCCAUACCGCGUGGGUGAAGAAGGCCUUCGGGUUGUAAAGCCCUUUUGUUGGGAAAGAAAAGCAGCAGGUUAAUACCCCGCUGUUCUGACGGUACCCAAAGAAUAAGCACCGGCUAACUUCGUG
RNAcentral lists this ribosomal RNA (492 nucleotides) under uncultured bacterium. RNAcentral describes it as "partial 16S ribosomal RNA". It matches the Rfam family "Bacterial small subunit ribosomal RNA", at positions 29 to 507 of the family's 1533-position model. The record is from RNAcentral.